UGCUAGAAGGAACGGACAACUCCAGCU
Molecule: non-coding RNA, 27 nt
Filed under: Homo sapiens (human)
Lineage: Eukaryota; Metazoa; Chordata; Mammalia; Primates; Hominidae
Source: RNAcentral